AAUAGCCUAACGGCUGAACCAGCAACUUGGAGGAACGUAUAGCGAAAGCUAGUUGCAUUUAAUUUAGCGAAAGCUAAACUGGUGCAGAAUUGAUUCUAUCAAAUAAAGUUCUAGACAGGUUAUGAUGAUGACAUUUCCUAUCUAUGUGUCUUGACCAAAUUACGUGCCAGCAGUCGCGGUAACACGUAGAAGACUAGUGUUAUUCAUCUUUAAUAGGUUUAAAGGGUACCUAGACGGUAAAUCCAGUCCAAAAAGGAUACUAAUUUGCUAGAGUUUAAUGUGAGGGGGCACUAAAGUACUGAUAAGUGUAGAGAUGAAAUUCUGUGAUACAAUAUAAGGACAGGUAAAGGCGAAAGCAUCUCAUUAUGUAAUAACUGACGUUGAGGGACGAAGGCUAGGAGAAGCAAAAAGGAUUAGAUACCCAAGUAGUCUUAGCAGAAAAUUAUGAAUGUCAUAGGAUGGAAAUAGUGGAUAACCAUUUUUUUUUCUAUAAAUGAAAGUGUAAGCAUUCCACCUCGAGAGUAAUUUGGCAACAUUGGAACUGAAAUCAUUAGACCGUUUCUGAAACAAGUAGUGAAGUAUGUUGUUUAAUUUGAUGGUCCGCAAAAAACCUUACCACAAUUUGAAUAGAAAUUUUUAUUUUUUACAAGCGCUGCACGGUUGUCUCCAGUUAAUGUCGUGAGAUCUUGGUUAGUUCCAUUAAAUUAACGUAAACCCUUACUUUAUUUAUAUAUAGAGUAGUUCACCGCUAGAUUGGAUGUGAUAACAGGGACUAAGACAAGUCAUCAUGGCCUUAAUAUUGUGGGCUAUAGACGUGCCACAUAUGCCUUACAAAGGGAUG
Molecule: ribosomal RNA, 841 nt
Filed under: Physcia stellaris
Lineage: Eukaryota; Fungi; Ascomycota; Lecanoromycetes; Caliciales; Physciaceae
Description: SSU rRNA
Rfam family: Bacterial small subunit ribosomal RNA
Source: RNAcentral